GGUCAUUGUUGGCCUUGCGUACCUUUACAUCACUGCGAAAGAGGAAGAGAGGGCCAGAGAGCACUCUUCCGGAUAUGGUUCAUCAGCUUCAGGCAGUGGU
Long non-coding RNA from Scomber japonicus (chub mackerel), 100 nucleotides. RefSeq lists it as uncharacterized. The transcript is spliced from 5 exons. The record is from RefSeq and is a predicted model, not a curated record. Lineage: Eukaryota; Metazoa; Chordata; Actinopteri; Scombriformes; Scombridae.